RNAcentral lists this ribosomal RNA (401 nucleotides) under uncultured bacterium. RNAcentral's name for it is "bacterial SSU rRNA". It matches the Rfam family "Bacterial small subunit ribosomal RNA", at positions 29 to 417 of the family's 1533-position model. The record is from RNAcentral.
AACGAACGCUGGCGGCGUGCUUAACACAUGCAAGUCGAACGCGAAAGUCCCGCAAGGGAUAAGUAGAGUGGCAAACGGGUGAGUAACGCGUGGGUGACCUGCCUUCAAGUGGGGGAUAACGUCCCGAAAGGGACGCUAAUACCGCAUAACAUCCUGCCUUCGAAGAGGCGGUGAUCAAAGCCGGGGAUCGCAAGACCUGGCGCUGGAAGAGGGGCCCGCGUCCGAUUAGCUAGUUGGUGGGGAAUGGCUCACCAAGGCUUCGAUCGGUAGCCGGCCUGAGAGGGCGGACGGCCACACUGGGACUGAGACACGGCCCAGACUCCUACGGGAGGCAGCAGUGGGGAAUUGUUCGCAAUGGGCGCAAGCCUGACGACGCAACGCCGCGUGGAGGAUGAAGACCU